This 514-nucleotide ribosomal RNA is filed under the name uncultured bacterium. RNAcentral's name for it is "partial 16S ribosomal RNA". It matches the Rfam family "Bacterial small subunit ribosomal RNA", at positions 29 to 523 of the family's 1533-position model. The record is from RNAcentral.
AGCGAACGUUAGCGGCGGGCCUAACACAUGCAAGUCGAGCGAGAAAGGGGCUUCGGCCCUGAGUAAAGCGGCGGACGGGUGAGUAACACGUGGGUAAUCUUCCCUUGAGCGGGGGACAACGGUCCGAAAGGACCGCUAAUACCGCAUACGCUUCUGAGGACUCCGGUCCCUGGAAGGAAAGCUAGGUCGCAAGAUCCGGCACUCGAGGAGGCGCCGGCGUAGCAUCAGCUAGUUGGUGGGGUAAUGGCCUACCAAGGCGAAGACGCUGUAGCUGGUCUGAGAGGAUGAUCAGCCACACUGGGACUGAGACACGGCCCAGACUCCUACGGGAGGCAGCAGUGGGGAAUAUUGGACAAUGGGCGCAAGCCUGAUCCAGCCACGCCGCGUGAGUGAUGAAGGCCUUCGGGUCGUAAAGCUCUGUGGGGAGGGACGAACCGCUGCACGUGCAUAGCGUGCAGCAUGACGGUACCUCCUUAGCAAGCACCGGCUAACUUCGUGCCAGCCGCCGCAGUAA